This is a long non-coding RNA of Alnus glutinosa, 1077 nucleotides long. RefSeq lists it as uncharacterized. The transcript is spliced from 2 exons. The record is from RefSeq and is a predicted model, not a curated record. NCBI's taxonomy places the organism in Eukaryota, Viridiplantae, Streptophyta, Magnoliopsida, Fagales, Betulaceae.
UUGAUAUAAUAUACUAUAAUUUCCCCUUCACUUGUCCAUUUGAAACUAAUUAAAUUCAUACCAGUGCACAUGUUUUUCUAAAAAGCACAAGUUAACAUAAAAAAUAUUUAAAAACGAAUCUUAAAAUCCUAACAAUAGGAUAUUACUUAACCUAAAAGGCACUUAACUGAAAAAUGGUAUAGAUCCAAAGGUAACAACUAUUAAACAACAUUUAUUUGAAUCAAAUUACUUUAAGAAUAAAUCAAUUUCAUAUAAUAUAUAAGGGCGAAGCAAUAAUCAUCUUUGAUUAUACAUCAAACUAAAAACUUUUUAAAGUGGACAAAUAUCUAUGGCUUGCAAAUGUAUUAGAAAACUUAUGCUGGUGAUUAUGGAGUUGCUUAUCCUUAUUCUCCUAAAAGUGCAAGCUAAUGACCUUGCCCAAAUCUCUUUCCAUUCCUCAUCACCUUCUGCACUGCUUUCUUAUUUCCGUAAACUUGAUAAAGUUCAAACUAAGGACAUUUCCCCUACAUCUUUUUGUCCCUCUCCACUGCCUAUCAUGUAUCCUCACUGCUUUGAACUUGAUGAAAUUCAAGGAACAAUACAUACAUGCGUUACUGAUGAUGAAAUUAAAUUUUGUGAAAUAAAAUGGCCACAUCGGAGGAUUGGUUUUCAAUUUUGUAUUAUUUCGGCUUAUACAAAAUGUUGGUUGAGUCACCAUGUUGAACAAAAGAUGACUACUGAGCAUAUAUUGUGUGUACAUGAUUGUGUAAAACAUCGAAGUGAUAUUGGGACCUGUUGCAACGAAUGUAAUGAAAGGCAUUCAAAGACGCACUCAGAUGUCGUCUAUACACAAUAUCCCAAGCAUAAGAUAUGAUUCAUAUGGAGGCUUCUCAAGAAAUGUGCAAGAACAUAUCAGUUCUCAAUUGUCCCUCGUUUUAAAUAAUAUUGUUUUGAGUUGUGGAAUACUAUUACAAGAAGAUGCUAUACUAUCUCAUUUGAUAUCGUCGUGUUUUUGAGUUUUUAAAUUGGACCAUUGUGCACCCAAAACUACAUAAUUUGGUAGUUCAAUUAUAUAUGGGAUUUGUUGGUCUUGUUUUA